UACGUAGGGGGCUAGCGUUGUCCGGAAUCAUUGGGCGUAAAGCGCGUGUAGGCGGCCCGGUAAGUCCGCUGUGAAAGUCCAGGGCUCAACCCUGGGAUGCCGGUGGAUACUGUCGGGCUCGAGUCCGGAAGAGGCGAGUGGAAUUCCUGGUGUAGCGGUGGAAUGCGCAGAUAUCAGGAGGAACACCAAUAGCGAAGGCAGCUCGCUGGGACGGUACUGACGCUGAGGCGCGAAAGCGUGGGGAGCGAACAGG
This 253-nucleotide ribosomal RNA is filed under the name uncultured bacterium. RNAcentral describes it as "partial 16S ribosomal RNA". It matches the Rfam family "Bacterial small subunit ribosomal RNA", at positions 524 to 776 of the family's 1533-position model. The record is from RNAcentral.